GGGGAAUAUUGCACAAUGGGCGCAAGCCUGAUGCAGCGACGCCGCGUGGGGGAUGAAGGCCUUCGGGUUGUAAACUCCUUUCAUCAUCGACGAAGGGCUCAUUUGUUGUGGGUUUGACGGUAGGUGGAGAAGAAGCACCGGCUAACUACGUGCCAGCAGCCGCGGUAAUACGUAGGGUGCGAGCGUUGUCCGGAAUUACUGGGCGUAAAGAGCUCGUAGGUGGUUUGUCGCGUCGUCUGUGAAAUUCCGGGGCUUAACUCCGGGCGUGCAGGCGAUACGGGCAUAACUUGAGUGCUGUAGGGGAGACUGGAAUUCCUGGUGUAGCGGUGAAAUGCGCAGAUAUCAGGAGGAACACCGAUGGCGAAGGCAGGUCUCUGGGCAGUAACUGACGCUGAGGAGCGAAAGCAUGGGGAGCAAAC
This 419-nucleotide ribosomal RNA is filed under the name uncultured bacterium. Its description in RNAcentral is "bacterial SSU rRNA". It matches the Rfam family "Bacterial small subunit ribosomal RNA", at positions 356 to 773 of the family's 1533-position model. The record is from RNAcentral.